AGAGUUUGAUCCUGGCUCAGGACGAACGCUGGCGGCGUGCCUAAUACAUGCAAGUCGAACGCUUCUUUUUCCACCGGAGCUUGCUCCACCGGAAAAAGAGGAGUGGCGAACGGGUGAGUAACACGUGGGUAACCUGCCCAUCAGAAGGGGAUAACACUUGGAAACAGGUGCUAAUACCGUAUAACAAUCGAAACCGCAUGGUUUUGAUUUGAAAGGCGCUUUCGGGUGUCGCUGAUGGAUGGACCCGCGGUGCAUUAGCUAGUUGGUGAGGUAACGGCUCACCAAGGCGACGAUGCAUAGCCGACCUGAGAGGGUGAUCGGCCACAUUGGGACUGAGACACGGCCCAAACUCCUACGGGAGGCAGCAGUAGGGAAUCUUCGGCAAUGGACGAAAGUCUGACCGAGCAACGCCGCGUGAGUGAAGAAGGUUUUCGGAUCGUAAAACUCUGUUGUUAGAGAAGAACAAGGAUGAGAGUAACUGUUCAUCCCUUGACGGUAUCUAACCAGAAAGCCACGGCUAACUACGUGCCAGCAGCCGCGGUAAUACGUAGGUGGCAAGCGUUGUCCGGAUUUAUUGGGCGUAAAGCGAGCGCAGGCGGUUUCUUAAGUCUGAUGUGAAAGCCCCCGGCUCAACCGGGGAGGGUCAUUGGAAACUGGGAGACUUGAGUGCAGAAGAGGAGAGUGGAAUUCCAUGUGUAGCGGUGAAAUGCGUAGAUAUAUGGAGGAACACCAGUGGCGAAGGCGGCUCUCUGGUCUGUAACUGACGCUGAGGCUCGAAAGCGUGGGGAGCAAACAGGAUUAGAUACCCUGGUAGUCCACGCCGUAAACGAUGAGUGCUAAGUGUUGGAGGGUUUCCGCCCUUCAGUGCUGCAGCUAACGCAUUAAGCACUCCGCCUGGGGAGUACGACCGCAAGGUUGAAACUCAAAGGAAUUGACGGGGGCCCGCACAAGCGGUGGAGCAUGUGGUUUAAUUCGAAGCAACGCGAAGAACCUUACCAGGUCUUGACAUCCUUUGACCACUCUAGAGAUAGAGCUUCCCCUUCGGGGGCAAAGUGACAGGUGGUGCAUGGUUGUCGUCAGCUCGUGUCGUGAGAUGUUGGGUUAAGUCCCGCAACGAGCGCAACCCUUAUUGUUAGUUGCCAUCAUUUAGUUGGGCACUCUAGCAAGACUGCCGGUGACAAACCGGAGGAAGGUGGGGAUGACGUCAAAUCAUCAUGCCCCUUAUGACCUGGGCUACACACGUGCUACAAUGGGAAGUACAACGAGUCGCAAAGUCGCGAGGCUAAGCUAAUCUCUUAAAGCUUCUCUCAGUUCGGAUUGUAGGCUGCAACUCGCCUACAUGAAGCCGGAAUCGCUAGUAAUCGCGGAUCAGCACGCCGCGGUGAAUACGUUCCCGGGCCUUGCACACACCGCCCGUCAA
Molecule: ribosomal RNA, 1420 nt
Filed under: uncultured bacterium
Lineage: Bacteria
Description: bacterial SSU rRNA
Rfam family: Bacterial small subunit ribosomal RNA
Source: RNAcentral